AAUAGAUACCCGGGUAGUCCACGCCGUAAACGAUCGAGUGCUAAGUGUUAGAGGGUUUCCGCCCUUUAGUGGCUGCAGCUAACGCAUUAAGCACUCCGCCUGGGGAGUACGGUCGCAAGACUGAAACUCAAAGGAAUUGACGGGGGCCCGCACAAGCGGUGGAGCAUGUGGUUUAAUUCGAAGCAACGCGAAGAACCUUACCAGGUCUUGACAUCCUCUGACAACUCUAGAGAUAGAGCGUUCCCCUUCGGGGGACAGAGUGACAGGUGGUGCAUGGUUGUCGUCAGCUCGUGUCGUGAGAUGUUGGGUUAAGUCCCGCAACGAGCGCAACCCUUGAUCUUAGUUGCCAGCAUUUAGUUGGGCACUCUAAGGUGACUGCCGGUGACAAACCGGAGGAAGGUGGGGAUGGACGUCAAAUCAUCAUGCCCCUUAUGACCUGGGCUACACACGUGCUACAAUGGAUGGUACAAAGGGCUGCAAGACCGCGUAGGUCAAGCCAAUCCCAUAAAACCAUUCUCAGUUCGGAUUGUAGG
This 533-nucleotide ribosomal RNA is filed under the name uncultured bacterium. Its description in RNAcentral is "bacterial SSU rRNA". It matches the Rfam family "Bacterial small subunit ribosomal RNA", at positions 777 to 1304 of the family's 1533-position model. The record is from RNAcentral.